Molecule: ribosomal RNA, 250 nt
Filed under: uncultured bacterium
Lineage: Bacteria
Description: partial 16S ribosomal RNA
Rfam family: Bacterial small subunit ribosomal RNA
Source: RNAcentral
UACGGAGGGUGCAAGCGUUGUUCGGAAUUAUUGGGCGUAAAGGGCGUGUAGGCGGCCUCGUAAGUCUGAUGUGAAAGCCCCGGGCUCAACCUGGGAAGUGCAUUGGAAACUGCGAGACUUGAGUACGGGAGAGGGCAGUGGAAUUCCUAGUGUAGGAGUGAAAUCCGUAGAUAUUAGGAGGAACACCGGUGGCGAAGGCGGCUGCCUGGACCGAUACUGACGCUGAGACGCGAAAGCGUGGGGAGCAAAC